GCCGCGGUAAGACGUAGGGGGCCAGCGUUGCUCGGAAUUACUGGGCGUAAAGGGUUCGUAGGCGGUGCGGCAAGUCGGAAGUGAAAUCUCCGGGCUUAACUCGGAGGCUGCUUCCGAAACUGCCGUGCUGGAGUGCGGGAGAGGCGAGUGGAAUUGCAGGUGUAGCGGUGAAAUGCGUAGAUAUCUGCCGGAACACCCGUGGCGAAGGCGGCUCGCUGGACCGCAACUGACGCUGAGGAACGAAAGCUAGGGGAGCAAACAGGGUUAGAUACCCUGGUAGUCCUAGCCCUAAACGAUCAGGACUUGGGGUGUCCCGCGUUGGCGGGACGUCCCGGAGCUAACGCGUUAAGUCCUGCGCCUGGGGAGUACGGCCGCAAGGCUGAAACUCAAAGGAAUUGACGGGGGCCCGCACAAGCGGUGGAACAUGUGGUUCAAUUCGACGCAACGCGAAGAACCUUGCCUGGGCUUGAAGUGCCGGUGACGAGCGGUGGAAACAUCGUCUUCUCGCAAGAGACACCGGUAGAGGUGCUGCAUGGCUGUCGUCAGCUCGUGCCGUGAGGUGUUGGGUUAAGUCCCGCAACGAGCGCAACCCUUACUCUUAGUUGCCGCCCGCAAGGGGGAACUCUAAGA
Molecule: ribosomal RNA, 630 nt
Filed under: uncultured bacterium
Lineage: Bacteria
Description: bacterial SSU rRNA
Rfam family: Bacterial small subunit ribosomal RNA
Source: RNAcentral